CGAAAAAUGAUGAUAAGGAAUAGUAGUGAAGCUUCAAGAGCAAAUAGAGAGAUGGCGGUUGGUGAAAGCUAUCCUUGGACUUUAUGAACUCGCCUUUGAUGUUGCAAAUCUGAACGAAUAGUAAGAUUUGUCGUAUCUCUGCGUUAAGGAGCUUAAGUGAGUGUCAAACACUAAUUUGGGUGGUACCGCGGGUGGCAAAAAAAGCCCCUCGUCCCUAUU
Molecule: non-coding RNA, 219 nt
Filed under: Pontibacillus litoralis
Lineage: Bacteria; Bacillati; Bacillota; Bacilli; Caryophanales; Bacillaceae
Description: T-box sequence
Rfam family: T-box leader
About the family: Uncharged tRNA acts as the effector for transcription antitermination of genes in the T-box leader family.
Source: RNAcentral